AGAGGGGCAUGACAGAAGGGAGAGGGGGGUGUGGGCAGAGAGAACGGAGCGAGGAGGUAGGCGGGUGAGGGAUGAGAUGCGUGACUCUUCUUGCAUUCAUCAUUCAUGCACCCUCUCCUCUCUUUGCUUC
RNAcentral lists this non-coding RNA (130 nucleotides) under Palpitomonas bilix. The record is from RNAcentral.